Molecule: ribosomal RNA, 468 nt
Filed under: uncultured bacterium
Lineage: Bacteria
Description: partial 16S ribosomal RNA
Rfam family: Bacterial small subunit ribosomal RNA
Source: RNAcentral
GACGAACGCUGGCGGCGUGCUUAACACAUGCAAGUCGAACGGAAAGGCCCUGCUUUUGUGGGGUGCUCGAGUGGCGAACGGGUGAGUAACACGUGAGUAACCUGCCCUUGACUUUGGGAUAACUUCAGGAAACUGGGGCUAAUACCGGAUAGGAGCUCCUGCUGCAUGGUGGGGGUUGGAAAGUUUCGGCGGUUGGGGAUGGACUCGCGGCUUAUCAGCUUGUUGGUGGGGUAGUGGCUUACCAAGGCUUUGACGGGUAGCCGGCCUGAGAGGGUGACCGGCCACAUUGGGACUGCGGUAGGGUCCAGAGUGCUACGGGAGGCAACAGUGGGGAAUAUUGCACAAUGGGCUGAAGCCUGAUGAAGCAACGCCGCGUGCGGGAUGACGGCCUUCGGGUUGUAAACCGCUUUCGCCUGUGACGAAGCGUGAGUGACGGUAAUGGGUAAAGAAGCACGGGAUAACUACGUG